This 467-nucleotide ribosomal RNA is filed under the name uncultured bacterium. RNAcentral's name for it is "partial 16S ribosomal RNA". It matches the Rfam family "Bacterial small subunit ribosomal RNA", at positions 28 to 507 of the family's 1533-position model. The record is from RNAcentral.
GACGAACGCUGGCGGCGUGUUUAACACAUGCAAGUCGAACGGAAAGGCCUCUUUCGGGGGGUACUCGAGUGGCGAACGGGUGAGUAACACGUGAGUAACCUGCCCUUGACUUUGGGAUAACUUCAGGAAACUGGGGCUAAUACCGGAUAGGAGCUCCUGCUGCAUGGUGGGGGUUGGAAAGUUUCGGCGGUUGGGGAUGGACUCGCGGCUUAUCAGCUUGUUGGUGGGGUAGUGGCUUACCAAGGCUUUGACGGGUAGCCGGCCUGAGAGGGUGACCGGCCACAUUGGGACUGAGACACGGGCCAGACUCCGACGGGUGGCAGCAGUGGGGAAUAUUGCACAAUGGGUGGAAGCCUGAUGCAGCAACGCCGUGGGCGGGAUGACGGGCUUCGUGUUGUAAACCGAUUUCGCUCAUGGCGAAGCUUUGUGUGACGGUAGUGGGUAAAGAAGCACCGGCUAACUACGUG